UACGGAGGGGGCUAGCGUUGUUCGGAAUUACUGGGCGUAAAGCGCACGUAGGCGGCUUUGUAAGUUAGAGGUGAAAGCCUGGGGCUCAACUCCAGAAUUGCCUUUAAGACUGCAUCGCUUGAACGUCGGAGAGGUGAGUGGAAUUCCGAGUGUAGAGGUGAAAUUCGUAGAUAUUCGGAAGAACACCAGUGGCGAAGGCGGCUCAUUGGACGACUGUUGACGCUGAGGUGCGAAAGCGUGGGGAGCAAACAGG
Molecule: ribosomal RNA, 253 nt
Filed under: uncultured bacterium
Lineage: Bacteria
Description: partial 16S ribosomal RNA
Rfam family: Bacterial small subunit ribosomal RNA
Source: RNAcentral